GACGAACGCUGGCGGCGUGCUUAGCACAUGCAAGUCGAACGGACAGGCCCUGCUUUUGUGGGGUGCACGAGUGGCGAACGGGUGAGUAACACGUGAGUAUACUGUCCUUGACUUUGGGAUAACUUCAGGAAAAUGGGGCUAUAACAGGGUAGGAGCUCCUGAUGCGUGGGGGGGGAUGGAAAGUUUCGGCGGUUGGGGAUGGACUCGAGGCUUAUCCGCUUGUUGGUGGGGUAGUGGCUUACAAAGGCUUUGACGGGUAGCCGGCCUGGGAGGGUGACCGGCCACAUGGGGACUGCGGUACGGCCCAGACUCCUACGGGAGGCAGCAGUGGGGAAUAUUGCACAAUGGGCGGAAGCCUGAUGCAGCAACGCCGCGUGCGGGAUGACGGCCUUCGGGUGGUAAACCGCUUUCGCCUGUGACGAAGCGGGAGUGACGGUAAUGGGUAAAGAAGCACCGGCUAACUACGUG
This 468-nucleotide ribosomal RNA is filed under the name uncultured bacterium. RNAcentral describes it as "partial 16S ribosomal RNA". It matches the Rfam family "Bacterial small subunit ribosomal RNA", at positions 28 to 507 of the family's 1533-position model. The record is from RNAcentral.